AAUCGAACCCGGAGAUAGCUGGUUCUCCUCGAAAUAGCUUUAGGGCUAGCCUCAUGGAUCAUUGGUGGGGGUAGAGCACUGAAUGUGCGCGGGGGCCACAAAGCCUACCAAACGCUAUCAAACUACGAAUACCAUACAAUGCAGACCAUGGGAGUCAGUCCGCGAGAGAUAAGUUCCGCGGGCAAAAGGGGAACACCCCAGAUCAACCGCUAAGGUCCCCAAGUUCACGUUAAGUGGAGAAGGAUGUGGAAUUGCACAGACAACCAGGAUGUUGGCUCAGAAGCAGCCACACAUUUAAAGAGUGCGUAAUAGCUCACUGGUCGAGUGAUUGUGCGCCGAAGAUGUCCGGGGCUAAACGUGACACCGAAGCGAUGGGUGCAUCUGAAAGGAUGCGCGGUAGAGGAGCAAUGUGCAGAGGCAGAAGCCGUAUCGAGAGGCACGGUGGACACUGCACAAGAGAGAAUGCCGGUAUGAGUAGCGAGAGGCAUGCGAGAAACAUGCCCGUCGAAAGCCCAAGGUUUCCUGGGGAAGGUUCAUCCGCCCAGGGUAAGUCGGGGCCUAAGCCGAGGACGGAAGUCGUAGGCGAUGGACAGCAGGUGUAGAUUCCUGCACUACCGAUGGAAUGAAGCAGUGACACAGAAGGAUAACUCGAGCAGGGUGAUGGUCAACCCUGUGCAAGCAUCAAGGUUGGGUUGUAGUGAAGUACGCAACCCUACAAGCUGAGGUGUGAUGCGGACCGAAAUUUCAGUAGGGAAGCGAGUGAGUUCACGCUGGCGAGAAAAGCUGCUAGUACAUCCAAAGGUACCCGUACCGGAAACCGACGCAGGUGGGCGAGGAGAGAAUCCUGAGACGAACGGGAGAACCCUUGUUAAGGAACUCGGCAAAAUGACCCCGUAACUUCGGGAUAAGGGGUGCCUGCGAGAGCAGGCCGCAGAGAAUAGUCACAAGCGACUGUUUAGCAAAAACACAGGUAUCUGCGAAAGCGAGAGCUGACGUAUAGGUGCUGACACCUGCCCGGUGCUGGAAGGUUAAGGGAACAUGUUAGAGCAAUCGAAGCAUCGAACCGAAGCCCCAGUAAACGGCGGCCGUAACUAUAACGGUCCUAAGGUAGCGAAAUUCCUUGUCGGGUAAGUUCCGACCCGCACGAAUGGUGUAACGACUUGUGAGCUGUCUCAACAGGGGGCCCGGUGAAAUUGAAGUAUGGGUGAAGAUGCCCAUUACCCGCGACUGGACGGAAAGACCCCGUAGAGCUUUACUGCAGCCUGAUAUUGAGUUUCGGUAACUGAUGCACAGGAUAGGUGGGAGUCUGAGAGACAUGGGUUUCGGCUCAUGUGGAGACGGUGUUGGGAUACCACUCUUCGGUUACUGAAAUUCUAACAUAGCUCUGUGAAACCAGAGGAUGGACAGUGUCAGGUGGACAGUUUGACUGGGGCGGUCGCCUCCGAAAGAGUAACGGAGGCGCCCAAAGGUACCCUCAGAAUGGAUGGAAACCAUUCGAAGAGCGCAAAGGCAGAAGGGUGCCUGACUGCGAGAUUGACAAAUCGAGCAGAGACGAAAGUCGGGCUUAGUGAUCCGGCGGUAUUGAGUGGAAAAGCCGUCGCUUAACGGAUAAAAGCUACCUCGGGGAUAACAGGCUGAUCUCCCCCAAGAGUCCACAUCGACGGGGAGGUUUGGCACCUCGAUGUCGGCUCAUCGCAUCCUGGGGCUGAAUUCGGUCCCAAGGGUUUGGCUGUUCGCCAAUUAAAGCGGCACGCGAGCUGGGUUCAGAACGUCGUGAGACAGUUCGGUCCCUAUCCAUCGUGGGCGUAGGAGUCAUGAGAGGAGCUGUUCCUAGUACGAGAGGACCGGAAUGGACGCACCACUGGUGCAACUGUUGUCGUGCCAACGGCAUAGCAGGGAAGCGAAGUGCGGAUGGGAUAAACGCUGAAGGCAUCUAAGCGUGAAGCCCACCUCAAGAAUAAGACUCCACAAUAGACCCCUGGAGGACUACCAGGUAGAUAGGUCAUCGGUGGAAGCGCUGUAAGGCGUGU
RNAcentral lists this ribosomal RNA (2030 nucleotides) under human gut metagenome. Its description in RNAcentral is "bacterial LSU rRNA". It matches the Rfam family "Bacterial large subunit ribosomal RNA", at positions 831 to 2888 of the family's 2925-position model. The record is from RNAcentral.